Non-coding RNA from Marmota flaviventris (yellow-bellied marmot), 611 nucleotides. NCBI's taxonomy places the organism in Eukaryota, Metazoa, Chordata, Mammalia, Rodentia, Sciuridae. The record is from RefSeq and is a predicted model, not a curated record.
CAGCAUCCAAGUUGCCAUCUUGGAAGCAGAUUCCGGUUCUCACCAGACACAGAGACUAUUGGCACCUUGAUCUUGGACUUCCCAGCCUCCAGAACUGAGAGAAAGCUGACACAGUUAAACAUCAAGCAGUACCAUAUGCUCCCGGCUGGGGAGACCUGGGUUUCAUCAUUCCCUCUAAAAGGAAGCCAGUGCGAGGCUGAGAGGCCACCUGGAGAACCAAGCUGCUCCAGCUGACACGCAGCACCAACUGCCAGCCAUGAGUGAGACCAUUUUAGAUCUUCCAGCUCAGUUAAGCUCCAGCUGAAAGCAACCCGCACACAUGAGCCCUGUAUCAGAUUUUUGAGGUUUAUCCAUGUUGGUGCAGGAGGAAAAACACUGGAAUCUGCUCUUGGGAAAGUGAAAUGCUCACCCUCUGGGAAUCAAUCACAGGAAUCAGGAUCAUCCAAGGGAACAAUGGAAUCAUUAUGACCCAUUUCACACUCAUUCCAGAGCAGACACAAAGUCAGCUUCCCCUUCUCUCUCUCUCCCCUCCCCUUCUCUCUCCCCCUUCCUUAAAUGUGUGCACAUGAGCUCAUUAUACUGUAAUGCUGUCUUACAUUACAAAGCAGAAG